Molecule: ribosomal RNA, 479 nt
Filed under: uncultured bacterium
Lineage: Bacteria
Description: bacterial SSU rRNA
Rfam family: Bacterial small subunit ribosomal RNA
Source: RNAcentral
UGCGAACUCCUACGGGAGGCAGCAGUGGGGAAUUUUGGACAAUGGGGGCAACCCUGAUCCAGCAAUGCCGCGGGAGUGAAGAAGGCCUUCGGGUUGUAAAGCUCUUUUGUCAGGGAAGAAACGGUAGUAGCUAAUAUCUAUUACUAAUGACGGUAACUGAAGAAUAAGCACCGGCUAACUACGUGCCAGCAGCCGCGGUAAUACGUAGGGUGCAAGCGUGAAUCGGAAUUACUGGGCGUAAAGCGUGCGCAGGCGGUUGUGUAAGUCAGAUGUGAAAUCCCCGGGCUCAACCUGGGAAUUGCAUUUGAGACUGCACCGCUAGAGUGUGGCAGAGGGAGGUAGAAGUCCACGUGUAGCAGUGAAAUGCGUAGAUAUGUGGAGGAAUACCGAUGGCGAAGGCAGCCCCCUGGGAUAACACUGACGCUCAUGCACGAAAGCGUGGGGAGCAAACAGGAUUAGAAGCCCUGGUAGUCCAGAUG